This 523-nucleotide ribosomal RNA is filed under the name uncultured bacterium. RNAcentral's name for it is "partial 16S ribosomal RNA". It matches the Rfam family "Bacterial small subunit ribosomal RNA", at positions 355 to 893 of the family's 1533-position model. The record is from RNAcentral.
UGGGGAAUAUUGCACAAUGGGCGAAAGCCUGAUGCAGCAACGCCGCGUGAGUGAUGAAGGCCUUCGGGUUGUAAAGCUCUGUCUUUUGGGACGAUAAUGACGGUACCAAAGGAGGAAGCCACGGCUAACUACGUGCCAGCAGCCGCGGUAAUACGUAGGUGGCAAGCGUUGUCCGGAUUUACUGGGCGUAAAGGAUGCGUAGGCGGAUUUUUAAGUGAGAUGUGAAAUACCCGGGCUUAACUUGGGUGCUGCAUUUCAAACUGGGAAUCUAGAGUGCGGGAGAGGAGAAUGGAAUUCCUAGUGUAGCGGUGAAAUGCGUAGAGAUUAGGAAGAACACCAGUGGCGAAGGCGAUUCUCUGGACCGUAACUGACGCUGAGGCAUGAAAGCGUGGGUAGCAAACAGGAUUAGAUACCCUGGUAGUCCACGCCGUAAACGAUGAGUACUAGGUGUAGGAGGUAUCGACCCCCUCUGUGCCGCAGUUAACACAAUCAAGUACUCCGCCUGGGAAGUACGAUCGCAAGA